CUGACAAAUGUAUAAGAGGGUCCCGCCUGCCCUGUGACUUAUUUUUAAGUUUAACGGCCGCGGUAUUUUGACCGUGCGAAGGUAGCGCAAUCACUUGUCUUUUAAAUGGAGACCUGUAUGAAUGGCACAACGAGGGCUAAGCUGUCUCCUUUUUUCAGUCAAUGAAAUUGAUCCCCCCGUGCAGAAGCGGGGAUAAAACCAUAAGACGAGAAGACCCUAUGGAGCUUUAGACAAAAGACAGCCCACGUAAAAACACCUAGCUUAAUAGGACUAACAAAAUGGCACCUGUCCCAUGUCUUUGGUUGGGGCGACCGCGGGGAAACAAAAAACCCCCACGUGGACACAGGAGAUGCUCCUUAAAGUAAGAGCAGCCGCUCUAACUAACAGAACAUCUGACCAACAAGAUCCGGCAUGGCCGAUCAACGGAACGAGUUACCCUAGGGAUAACAGCGCAAUCCCCUUUUAGAGCCCAUAUCGACAAGGGGGUUUACGACCUCGAUGUUGGAUCAGGACAUCCUAAUGGUGCAGCCGCUAUUAAGGGUUCGUUUGUUCAACGAUUAAAGUCCUACGUGAUCUGAGUUCAGACCGAACGGAGGG
Molecule: ribosomal RNA, 597 nt
Filed under: Eugnathogobius oligactis
Lineage: Eukaryota; Metazoa; Chordata; Actinopteri; Gobiiformes; Gobiidae
Description: partial large subunit ribosomal RNA
Rfam family: Bacterial large subunit ribosomal RNA
Source: RNAcentral